This 970-nucleotide ribosomal RNA is filed under the name Psychrobacillus sp. Its description in RNAcentral is "bacterial SSU rRNA". It matches the Rfam family "Bacterial small subunit ribosomal RNA", at positions 526 to 1479 of the family's 1533-position model. The record is from RNAcentral. Lineage: Bacteria; Bacillati; Bacillota; Bacilli; Caryophanales; Bacillaceae.
UAAGUUGGCAAAGCGAUGUCCGGAAUAUUGGGCGUAAAAGCGCCGCGCAGGCGGUCCUUUAAGUCUGAUGUGAAAAGCCCACGGCUCAACCGUGGAGGAUCAUUGGGAAACUUGGGGGACUUGAGUGCAGAAAGAGGGAAAAGUGGAAUUUCCCAGUGUAGCGGUGAAAUGCGUAGAGAUUUGGAGGAACACCCAGUGGCGAAGGGCGACUUUUUGGGUCUGUAACUGACGCUGAGGCGCGAAAGCGUGGGGGAGCAAACAGGAUUAGAUACCCUGGUAGUCCACGCCGUAAACGAUGAGUGCUAAGUGUUAGGGGGUUUCCGCCCCUUAGUGCUGCAGCUAACGCAUUAAGCACUCCGCCUGGGGAGUACGGUCGCAAGACUGAAACUCAAAGGAAUUGACGGGGGCCCGCACAAGCGGUGGAGCAUGUGGUUUAAUUCGAAGCAACGCGAAGAACCUUACCAGGUCUUGACAUCCCGCUGACCGCUCUAGAGAUAGAGUUUUCCCUUCGGGGACAGCGGUGACAGGUGGUGCAUGGUUGUCGUCAGCUCGUGUCGUGAGAUGUUGGGUUAAGUCCCGCAACGAGCGCAACCCUUGAUCUUAGUUGCCAGCAUUCAGUUGGGCACUCUAAGGUGACUGCCGGUGAUAAACCGGAGGAAGGUGGGGAUGACGUCAAAUCAUCAUGCCCCUUAUGACCUGGGCUACACACGUGCUACAAUGGACGGUACAGAGGGUCGCAACCCCGCGAGGGUGAGCUAAUCCCAUAAAACCGUUCUCAGUUCGGAUUGUAGGCUGCAACUCGCCUACAUGAAGCCGGAAUCGCUAGUAAUCGUGGAUCAGCAUGCCACGGUGAAUACGUUCCCGGGCCUUGUACACACCGCCCGUCACACCACGAGAGUUUGUAACACCCGAAGUCGGUGGGGUAACCCUUACGGGAGCCAGCCGCCCGAAAGUUGGACCCGAAGUUAGG